CCUACGGAGCGCAGCAGUGAGGAAUAUUGGUCAAUGGGCGGAAGCCUGAACCAGCCAAGUAGCGUGCAGGAUGACGGCCCUACGGGUUGUAAACUGCUUUUAUACGGGAAUAACGCGCCUUACGUGUAGGGCUUUGCAUGUACCGUAUGAAUAAGGACCGGCUAAUUCCGUGCCAGCAGCCGCGGUAAUACGGAAGGUCCGGGCGUUAUCCGGAUUUAUUGGGUUUAAGGGGAGCGUAGGCCGCAUGUCAAGCGUGCUGUGAAAUGUCCGGUCUCAACCCGGGCCUUGCAGCGCGAACUGGCGUGCUUGAGUCCGCGGAAAGCAGGCGGAAUUCGUCGUGUAGGGGUGAAAUGCGUAGAUAUGACGAAGAACCCCGAUUGCGAAGGCAGCUUGCUGCAGCGGAACUGACGCUGAUGCUCGAAAGCGCGGGUAUCGAACAGGAUUAGAUACCCUGGUAGUC
This 460-nucleotide ribosomal RNA is filed under the name uncultured bacterium. Its description in RNAcentral is "partial 16S ribosomal RNA". It matches the Rfam family "Bacterial small subunit ribosomal RNA", at positions 338 to 795 of the family's 1533-position model. The record is from RNAcentral.